UCCAAGUCCCUCACACGGCUGACCGCUAAAUUGGGCGGCACGUACGUGUUUACAAAAUCGCUUUCUACUUCCUUUCUCGUGUGUAAUCUCGUUCUAAAAAUAGAAACGAGAUCUACACGCAAAUUAUACGUUAUUCCAUGGAAUUUCCCAGUCUUUUGGGCGCGAAGAUCGAGGAUAUGUUACGUGUUUUCGCGACAGAUUAUCAGGGCGACGAAUGAGAAUGCAGCCUAUACAAGUGAACGAGCGAUCACAACAACAACAAAGAACAAUCUGUGAUAUCUUCCCUGUGAUGUCUUUCUUAUAGGAGCUGUGGUUCAAUGUUCAGAUGUGCAUGAAGAGGAUUUACCUGUAACACCUGGGAUUACCUGUGCCGUCCAAGAUGACAAGACCACCGCGUUAUGUUUACCUUGUAUCUGUGAUUUAUUUUUGUGAUUUUUAAUACAUUUUGAGCCCAAA
Molecule: long non-coding RNA, 456 nt
Organism: Haliotis rufescens (red abalone)
Lineage: Eukaryota; Metazoa; Mollusca; Gastropoda; Lepetellida; Haliotidae
Exons: 4
Source: RefSeq, a predicted model, not a curated record